GGGCACAUGGUGUAGUUGGUUAUUCACAUCCGCUUAGCAUGACGGUCAAAGAAGCUGAUGAGCAUUGCGGGGGGUGCUGGGUUCAAUUCCCAGUGUGUCCA
Molecule: non-coding RNA, 101 nt
Organism: Paramarasmius palmivorus
Lineage: Eukaryota; Fungi; Basidiomycota; Agaricomycetes; Agaricales; Marasmiaceae
Source: the annotation of a GenBank genome assembly